GGGUUAUGGUUCAGCGGUAGAGCAUGUGCCUUGCACAUGCAAGGCUCUGGGUUCGAUCCUCAGCACCCA
Molecule: transfer RNA, 69 nt
Filed under: Marmota monax (woodchuck)
Lineage: Eukaryota; Metazoa; Chordata; Mammalia; Rodentia; Sciuridae
Description: tRNA.Ala
Source: RNAcentral